This is a long non-coding RNA of Balaenoptera acutorostrata (minke whale), 624 nucleotides long. RefSeq lists it as uncharacterized. Lineage: Eukaryota; Metazoa; Chordata; Mammalia; Artiodactyla; Balaenopteridae. The record is from RefSeq and is a predicted model, not a curated record. The transcript has 3 exons.
GCAAACACAGAGCUGACAGGAUCGUCCACUGUAUCAGGAGAUUGUAAAACAGGGACGGGGAGAAAGCAGUCUCUUGGGUAGUUUCUGUGCUCCUUUAACAUGGGAAGAGAAGAAGGGCAAACAAACGCUGGGGUAGUCUCUGCCCAGCUUGGUUUGCUUUCUGCUUCUGAGGGAAAAGGAGUGCUGGCUGGACUAUUGCAAACCAGCAGGAGAGAAGCACGUGGAUGGCAUUAUAGCUCUUAUUCAAGGAUUCUCAUUUGAAAGGCACCUACAGAAGAACUCUAUUUCCCAGGGACCAGAUGCCUCUGAACUUAAGGCCUUCCAUCAUAUUCGGCAGCUAAGACGCUCUUCUCUUAAAAGCCCCCAAACAGGGCUUCCCUGGUGGCGCAGUGGUUAAGAAUCAGCCUACCAAUGCAGGGGACACGGGUUCGAGCCCUGGUCCAGGAAGAUCUCACAUGCCAUGGAGCAACUAAGCCCGUGCACCACAACUACUGAGCCUGUGCUCUAGAGUUUGCGAGCCACAACUACUGAGUCUGCGUGCCACAACUACUGAAGCUCACGUGCCUAGAGCCCAUGCUCUGCAACAGGAGAAGCUACGGCAAUGAGAAGCCCGUGCAGCGCAAC